AAACUAAUUUAGUUUGGCGGCAUUUCAUCUAAUUAGAGGAAUUCGUUUUUUAAUCGACACCACACGUUAAAUCUUACUUUAAUUUUAUAAAUUUAUAUACCGCCAUCUUAAGAAUCAAUUCCAAAAUAUUUCUCCCAAAAAUAAAUAAAAAGUUAGGUCAAGGUGUAAUUCACAUUAAAGAAUUAAUGAAUUACAUUAAAUAUAAUUUAAAGAUUAUAAAUCUACAAUUUAUAUAAAUAAGGAUUUAAAAGUAAUAUAUUAAAUAAUAUUACAAUAUGAUUUAGAUAANAAAUGUGCACACAUCGCCC
Molecule: ribosomal RNA, 308 nt
Filed under: Papiliocoelotes meiyuensis
Lineage: Eukaryota; Metazoa; Arthropoda; Arachnida; Araneae; Agelenidae
Description: partial 12S ribosomal RNA
Source: RNAcentral